CGCAUCUGUGCAUGCAGCAUAUCAAUAAGCGGAGGAAAAGAAACUAACAAGGAUUCCCUUAGUAACGGCGAGUGAAGCGGGAAGAGCUCAAAUUUGAAAUCUUCAAGGUUUUACCUUGACGAAUUGUAGUUUAAAGAAGUGUUUUCUGUUGAAGUUUUGGUAAAAGUUCUUUGGAAUAGGACAUCAUAGAGGGUGAGAAUCCCGUAUUUGACCAUUAUUUUCAGCUGUGUGAUACACUUUCAAAGAGUCGGAUUGUUUGGGAAUGCAGUCCAAAAUGGGUGGUAAAUUUCAUCUAAAGCUAAAUAUUGGCGAGAGACCGAUAGCGAACAAGUACCGUGAGGGAAAGAUGAAAAGAACUUUGAAAAGAGAGUUAAACAGUACGUGAAAUUGUCAAAAGGGAAGCGUUUGACACCAGUGUUGUUUUCUCGAAAAUCAAUUAAAAAGAGUUAGAUUUUGUUGUGUAUUGACCUUAACAGCUUGCAUUUCAAUUUUCUUGCUUUUUUUAAUGCACCUUUCGUUUAACAAGUCAACAUCAGUUUCUUUUGUUGUAAAAAGGUCAUUGGAAGGUAGCUUUCUUUUCGGAGAAAGUGUUUAUAGCCUUUGACUCCUGCAAUCGGAGAGACUGAGGUCUGCAGCGUAGAUCCUUCGGGGUUAGAUAGCAUUUGUGCUAAGUUAUAGCAUUUUAUAGACAACUUGUUGACUAUGAUUAGUCUUGUAGCUUACUCGCUUAUGCUAUUUUACCUACGCUUAGGAUGUUGAUGUGAUACUGCGAGCA
RNAcentral lists this ribosomal RNA (775 nucleotides) under uncultured Neocallimastigales. RNAcentral's name for it is "partial large subunit ribosomal RNA". It matches the Rfam family "Eukaryotic large subunit ribosomal RNA", at positions 26 to 629 of the family's 3401-position model. Lineage: Eukaryota; Fungi; Neocallimastigomycota; Neocallimastigomycetes; Neocallimastigales. The record is from RNAcentral.